Molecule: ribosomal RNA, 433 nt
Filed under: uncultured bacterium
Lineage: Bacteria
Description: partial 16S ribosomal RNA
Rfam family: Bacterial small subunit ribosomal RNA
Source: RNAcentral
AACGAACGCUGGCGGCAUGCCUAACACAUGCAAGUCGAACGAGACCUUCGGGUCUAGUGGCGCACGGGUGCGUAACGCGUGGGAACCUGCCCUUAGGUUCGGAAUAACUCCCCGAAAGGGGUGCUAAUACCGGACAAUGUCCUCGGACCAAAGAUUUAUCGCCUUUGGAUGGGCCCGCGUUGUAUUAGCUAGUUGGUAGGGUAAAAGCCUACCAAGGCGACGAUCCAUAGCUGGUCUGAGAGGAUGAUCAGCCACACUGGGACUGAGACACGGCCCAGACUCCUACGGGAGGCAGCAGUGGGGAAUAUUGGACAAUGGGCGAAAGCCUGAUCCAGCAAUGCCGCGUGAGUGAUGAAGGCCUUAGGGUUGUAAAGCUCUUUUACCCGGGAUGAUAAUGACAGUACCGGGAGAAUAAGCUCCGGCUAACUCCGUG